This 638-nucleotide ribosomal RNA is filed under the name uncultured Bacteroidales bacterium. RNAcentral's name for it is "bacterial SSU rRNA". It matches the Rfam family "Bacterial small subunit ribosomal RNA", at positions 85 to 722 of the family's 1533-position model. Lineage: Bacteria; Pseudomonadati; Bacteroidota; Bacteroidia; Bacteroidales. The record is from RNAcentral.
UUGGUGGCGACCGGCGCACGGGUGCGUAACGCGUAUGUAACCUACCUAUAACAGGGGCAUAACACUGAGAAAUUGGUACUAAUUCCCCAUAAUAUUCGGAGAGGCAUCUCUCCGGGUUGAAAACUCCGGUGGUUAUAGAUGGACAUGCGUUGUAUUAGCUAGUUGGUGAGGUAACGGCUCACCAAGGCAACGAUACAUAGGGGGACUGAGAGGUUAACCCCCCACACUGGUACUGAGACACGGACCAGACUCCUACGGGAGGCAGCAGUGAGGAAUAUUGGUCAAUGGACGCAAGUCUGAACCAGCCAUGCCGCGUGCAGGAAGACGGCUCUAUGAGUUGUAAACUGCUUUUGUACGAGGGUAAACUCACCUACGUGUAGGUGACUGAAAGUAUCGUACGAAUAAGGAUCGGCUAACUCCGUGCCAGCAGCCGCGGUAAUACGGAGGAUUCAAGCGUUAUCCGGAUUUAUUGGGUUUAAAGGGUGCGUAGGCGGUUUGAUAAGUUAGAGGUGAAAUCCCGGGGCUUAACUCCGGAACUGCCUCUAAUACUGUUAGACUAGAGAGUAGUUGCGGUAGGCGGAAUGUAUGGUGUAGCGGUGAAAUGCUUAGAGAUCAUACAGAACACCGAUUGCGAAGGC